This 128-nucleotide ribosomal RNA is filed under the name uncultured archaeon. RNAcentral describes it as "partial 16S ribosomal RNA". It matches the Rfam family "Archaeal small subunit ribosomal RNA", at positions 324 to 457 of the family's 1478-position model. The record is from RNAcentral.
CACGGGGCGCAGCAGGCGCGAAAACUUUACAAUGCGGGAAACCGUGAUAAGGGGACACCGAGUGCUAGCAUCAUAUGCUGGCUGUCCAGGUGUGUAAACUACACCNUNGNAAAGCNNGNAGCCCGGGG